AUGCCGAACUGCUUCAUCGUUCUGGGGCUGCAGAUGAAGUCGAGCGGCGGCUUGUAGACGUUGUCCUGUAGGAUCGAGAUCUGCCCCUCCUUGACAAGGAUGUCUUCUUCGAGGGACUCGAUCUUCUUCUUUAGAGACGCGACCUCGUUCUGCAUCAUGCUGGUGGUUUUGCGGAGCUGCUUCGCUUCCUGCCACGAGAGGUCCCUUUCAUCGGUCACGAUUUUCAGCUCUCCUCUGAGCGCGCUUAGCUCCUUGGCAGAUUCUUGGAAAUCCUGCUGGAUCUGGUCGAUGGACUCGUCUUUCUUCGAACCCUGUUAA
RNAcentral lists this ribosomal RNA (318 nucleotides) under Triticum aestivum (bread wheat). RNAcentral describes it as "partial small subunit ribosomal RNA". Lineage: Eukaryota; Viridiplantae; Streptophyta; Magnoliopsida; Poales; Poaceae. The record is from RNAcentral.